GACAGGGGAUGCAAGCGUUAUCCGGAAUGAUUGGGCGUAAAGCGUCUGUAGGUGGCUUUUUAAGUCUGCCGUCAAAUCCCAGGGCUCAGCCCUGGCCAGGCGGUGGAGACUACUAAGCUGGAGUACGGUAGGGGCAGAGGGAAUUUCCGGUGGAGCGGUGAAAUGCGUAGAUAUCGGAAAGAACACCAAGGGCGAAGGCACUCUGCUGGGCCGAAACUGACACUGAGAGACGAGAGCUAGGGGAGCAAAUGGG
This 253-nucleotide ribosomal RNA is filed under the name uncultured bacterium. Its description in RNAcentral is "partial 16S ribosomal RNA". It matches the Rfam family "Bacterial small subunit ribosomal RNA", at positions 524 to 776 of the family's 1533-position model. The record is from RNAcentral.